RNAcentral lists this transfer RNA (83 nucleotides) under Pseudomonadales bacterium. Its description in RNAcentral is "tRNA-Tyr". It matches the Rfam family "tRNA". Rfam says of the family: Transfer RNA (tRNA) molecules are approximately 80 nucleotides in length. Lineage: Bacteria; Pseudomonadati; Pseudomonadota; Gammaproteobacteria; Pseudomonadales. The record is from RNAcentral.
GUGAGUGUAGCGAAGUGGUCAAACGCACUGGACUGUAAACCCAGCGACUUAGGUCUACGUUGGUUCAAAUCCAACCGCUCACA